This 23-nucleotide non-coding RNA is filed under the name Arabidopsis thaliana (thale cress). The record is from RNAcentral. Lineage: Eukaryota; Viridiplantae; Streptophyta; Magnoliopsida; Brassicales; Brassicaceae.
UCUGGAAAGUGCCUUAAACGUAA